This 446-nucleotide ribosomal RNA is filed under the name uncultured organism. Its description in RNAcentral is "partial 16S ribosomal RNA". It matches the Rfam family "Bacterial small subunit ribosomal RNA", at positions 335 to 797 of the family's 1533-position model. The record is from RNAcentral.
ACUCCUGCGGGAGGCAGCAGUGGGGAAUAUUGGACAAUGGGCGCAAGCCUGAUCCAGCCAUGCCGCGUGAGUGAUGAAGGCCCUAGGGUUGUAAAGCUCUUUCACCGGUGAAGAUAAUGACGGUAACCGGAGAAGAAGCCCCGGCUAACUUCGUGCCAGCAGCCGCGGUAAUACGAAGGGGGCUAGCGUUGUUCGGAUUUACUGGGCGUAAAGCGCACGUAGGCGGACUAUUAAGUCAGGGGUGAAAUCCCGGGGCUCAACCCCGGAACUGCCUUUGAUACUGGUAGUCUUGAGUUCGAGAGAGGUGAGUGGAAUUCCGAGUGUAGAGGUGAAAUUCGGAGAUAUUCGGAGGAACACCAGUGGCGAAGGCGGCUCACUGGCUCGAUACUGACGCUGAGGUGCGAAAGCGUGGGGAGCAAACGGGAUUAGAAACCCUUGUAGUCCCA